Long non-coding RNA from Cyprinus carpio (common carp), 1197 nucleotides. Lineage: Eukaryota; Metazoa; Chordata; Actinopteri; Cypriniformes; Cyprinidae. The record is from Ensembl.
AUGGAAGUUCUAACUACCACCAUUCAGAAUCGAGAACAAUAUAAAAAUUUUCCAUUGAGUGAACUUUCUCAUAGCAUACUGUCACAGGAUCAGUUGGCAAUGUCAGCUCCAAAUCACCAGUAUUCAAAAUUGACAAUCAAGCAGACAGAAAAACUGAACAAAAAUCAAAAACGAAAGGCUUACUCUAAAAAAUGGCACAAAGAAAUGGCUCUGAGGCAAUGUGUUGAUGACAAAAAACAGACAAAAAUGUAUGAUUAUAAAACAAGUUGCAAAUACAGGCAAAAACAUAAGCAAGCCAUGAAGAACAGCUACUGGAAUAAUAUGAUUUACAGAGAAAAACACAAACAAACAAUGAAACACAAUUACAAAAAUAUUAAUGAAUAUAGACAGAGAAAAAAAAGUAAGGUGACCAGCAGUUACAGGAAUAAUGAAAAAUUCAGGGAGAGACAGAAAAACUACAUAAUCAGAAAUUACAGAAGUGAUGAACAAUUCAGGCAGAGACAAAAGAACUACGUAAAUAAGAAUUACAGAAAUGAUGAACAAUUCAAGCAGAGACAAAAGAACUACAUAAAUAGGAAUUACAGAAAUGAUGAACAAUUCAGGGAGAGACAAAAGAACUACAUAAGAAAUUACAGGGAUGAUGGAAAAUUCAGGGAAAGACAAAAGCUCUAUAUGAGAAAUUACAGGAACAACGUUAAAUAUAUGAAGCCACACGUGCAAUAUAUUGUUAAUAGAUAUUUAAAAGAUCCUAUUUUUAGGCAAAGACAAAAGGACCAUCAUACAAACCGAUGCAAAAAUGAUCCUGAUUUUCAUAAAAAAAGGAAGGAACUUUUCAAACAGCGUUAUCAUUGUGAUGCACAUUUUAGGGCUCGUCAGAAAGAAUAUUUUUUAUUCAAAUCUGAAAACAAAAUAUCUACACUUAAGAUACUUCACAAAGUACACUGUGCACAAGACAUACAGUACAAAUACAAAAAAAUGUAUCCGAUGCACCAGCGGAGAGAAAUGUUACAAGAUAGCCAGCCUGACAUAGUAAAAGAUCCAAGCAUGUUGAGGGCCUUAAAUAUUUUCAGAGGUGUUAUAAAACAGGGGCCAACUUAUGUCUGCACAUGCUGUGCCAGAGCACUCUUCUCAAAUCAAGUGCGUAAAUGUGACAUGCGUAAUUAUAAAAAAAUCCAACAGUUGCUUCACUUUGCUUGA